Molecule: ribosomal RNA, 253 nt
Filed under: uncultured bacterium
Lineage: Bacteria
Description: partial 16S ribosomal RNA
Rfam family: Bacterial small subunit ribosomal RNA
Source: RNAcentral
GACAGAGGGUGCAAACGUUGUUCGGAAUUACUGGGCGUAAAGCGUGUGUAGGCGGCUACGUAAGUCGGAUGUGAAAGCCCCGGGCUCAACCCGGGAAGUGCACUCGAUACUGCGUAGCUAGAGUGUCGGAGAGGUUGGUGGAAUUCUCGGUGUAGAGGUGAAAUUCGUAGAUAUCGAGAGGAACACCGGUGGCGAAGGCGGCCAACUGGACGAACACUGACGCUGAGACACGAAAGCGUGGGGAGCAAACAGG